AUUGAACGCUGGCGGCAUGCCUUACACAUGCAAGUCGAACGGCAGCGCGGACUUCGGUCUGGCGGCGAGUGGCGAACGGGUGAGUAAUACAUCGGAACGUACCCUGUUGUGGGGGAUAACUAGUCGAAAGAUUAGCUAAUACCGCAUACGACCUGAGGGUGAAAGUGGGGGACCGCAAGGCCUCACGCAGCAGGAGCGGCCGAUGUCUGAUUAGCUAGUUGGUGGGGUAAAGGCCCACCAAGGCGACGAUCAGUAGCUGGUCUGAGAGGACGAUCAGCCACACUGGGACUGAGACACGGCCCAGACUCCUACGGGAGGCAGCAGUGGGGAAUUUUGGACAAUGGGGGCAACCCUGAUCCAGCAAUGCCGCGUGUGUGAAGAAGG
Molecule: ribosomal RNA, 384 nt
Filed under: uncultured bacterium
Lineage: Bacteria
Description: bacterial SSU rRNA
Rfam family: Bacterial small subunit ribosomal RNA
Source: RNAcentral